UGGGGAAUCUUGCGCAAUGGGCGAAAGCCUGACGCAGCGACGCCGCGUGAGGGAAGAAGGCCUUCGGGUUGUAAACCUCUUUCAGGAGGGACGAAGCUACUCGGGUGAAUAGCCCAGAGGGUGACGGUACCUCCAGAAGAAGCCCCGGCUAACUACGUGCCAGCAGCCGCGGUAAUACGUAGGGGGCAAGCGUUGUCCGGAUUUACUGGGCGUAAAGAGCGUGUAGGCGGCCAAACAGGUCCGUUGUGAAAACUGGAGGCUCACCCUCCAGACGUCUACGGAAACCGUGUGGCUAGAGUCCGGAAGAGGAGAGUGGAAUUCCUUGUGUAGCGGUGAAAUGCGCAGAUAUCAGGAAGAACACCUAUCGCGAAGGCAGCUCUCUGUGACGGUACUGACGCUGAGACGCGAAAGCGUGGGGAGCGAACAGG
This 428-nucleotide ribosomal RNA is filed under the name Bacillota bacterium. RNAcentral describes it as "Firmicutes bacterium partial 16S ribosomal RNA". It matches the Rfam family "Bacterial small subunit ribosomal RNA", at positions 355 to 776 of the family's 1533-position model. Lineage: Bacteria; Bacillati; Bacillota. The record is from RNAcentral.